This 510-nucleotide ribosomal RNA is filed under the name uncultured bacterium. RNAcentral describes it as "partial 16S ribosomal RNA". It matches the Rfam family "Bacterial small subunit ribosomal RNA", at positions 28 to 507 of the family's 1533-position model. The record is from RNAcentral.
GACGAACGCUGGCGGCGUGCUUAACACAUGCAAGUCGAACGAAGAGCGAUGGAAGCUUGCUUCUAUCAAUCUUAGUGGCGAACGGGUGAGUAACGCGUAAUCAACCUGCCCUUCAGAGGGGGACAACAGUUGGAAACGACUGCUAAUACCGCAUACGAUCUAAACUCGGCAUCGAGGAUAGAUGAAAGGUGGCCUCUACAUGUAAGCUAUCACUGAAGGAGGGGAUUGCGUCUGAUUAGCUAGUUGGAGGGGUAACGGCCCACCAAGGCGAUGAUCAGUAGCCGGUCUGAGAGGAUGAACGGCAACAUUGGGACUGAGACACGGCCCAGACUCCUACGGGAGGCAGCAGUGGGGAAUCUUCCGCAAUGGACGAAAGUCUGACGGAGCAACGCCGCGUGAGUGAUGACGGCCUUCGGGUUGUAAAGCUCUGUUAAUCGGGACGAAAGGCCUUCUUGCGAAUAGUGAGAAGGAUUGACGGUACCGGAAUAGAAAGCCACGGCUAACUACGUG